AUACCAAUCUAGCCUGGCUAGGUGUUGGGCCUCGCCGUCUGGCGGGCCUUAAAACUAGUGGCGGUGCUCUUCAGCUCUACGCGUAGUAAUUUUCUCGCUAUAGGGUCUGGGGAGAUGCUUGCCAGCAACCCCAAAUUUUUCUA
This 143-nucleotide unclassified non-coding RNA is filed under the name Lachnum virgineum. RNAcentral's name for it is "partial internal transcribed spacer 2". The record is from RNAcentral. Lineage: Eukaryota; Fungi; Ascomycota; Leotiomycetes; Helotiales; Lachnaceae.